RNAcentral lists this long non-coding RNA (1302 nucleotides) under Oryctolagus cuniculus (rabbit). Its description in RNAcentral is "lncRNA (ENSOCUG00000033201.1)". The record is from RNAcentral. Lineage: Eukaryota; Metazoa; Chordata; Mammalia; Lagomorpha; Leporidae.
AUGCUCACCCAAGACCCAGACCCAAGGCGUCACCCGCGGCCCCUGAAGCUCACCCAAGACCUAGACCCAAGGCGUCACCCGAGGGCCCUGAUGUUCACCCAAGACCCCGACCCAGGGCGUCACCCGAGGGCCCUGAUGCUCACCCAAGACCCCCACCCAAGGCGUCACCCGAGGGCCCUGAUGCUCACCCAAGACCCAGACCCAGGGCGUCACCCGAGGGCCCUGAUGUUCACCCGAGACCCAGACCCAAGGCGUCACCCGAGGGCCCUGAUGCUCACCCAAGACCCCGACCCAGGGCGUCACCCGAGGGCCCUGAUGCUCACCCAAGACCCAGACCCAGGGCAUCACCCGAGGGCCCUGAAGCUCACCCAAGACCCAGACCCAAGGCGUCACCCCAGGGCCCUGACGCUCACCCAAGACCCCCACCCAAGGCGUCACCCGAGGGCCCUGAUGCUCACUCAAGACCCAGACCCAGGGCGUCACCCGAGGGCCCUGAUGCUCACCCAAGACCCCGACCCAAGGCGUCACCCGAGGGCCCUGAUGCUCACCCAAGACCCCGACCCAAGGCGUCACCCGAGGGCCCUGAUGCUCACUCGAGACCCAGACCCAGGGCGUCACCCGAGGGCCCUGAUGCUCACCCAAGACCCAGACCCAAGACCCGCUGCUCAUCACCCACCUGUUCCCGGGGUCUCAGUGAGGAAGGCACCCAGUAAGGCAGCGCUGCCUCGGCCCGGGGCACGGGCAGGCGGCCCCCGAAGUGGGCGUGGCACUCACAGCAGAGGGGCUCUCGGAGACCAUUUUGGGCGCCAGGGUACAUCUGAUCCAGAAAGGACAAAUUCAAUGUUUUACUGCAUGUGCAGUCACGCGAGGGGCCUUCCAGAACCCGAAGUGCUCAGACGGACGCGAUCCAUGGACAGGGCCGGGGUCCUGCUUCCCACAGCGGCCCAGAGACAGACGGACGCGAUCCAUGGACAGGGCCGGGGUCCUGCUUCCACAGCGGCCCAGAGACAGACGGACGCGAUCCAUGGACAGGGCCGGGGUCCUGCUUCCCACAGCGGCCAGAGAGAGGCCGGCUACCGUGACUGCCAGCGAGGGGCAGCCGGCACCUGCAGACCAGGUCCACCGGCACCUUCAGCCGCCCACUGCGCCGUUACCCUCUCCAAACGGCAGAGGCCCAGGGGACAGCAGAGCUGCUCUGGGGCCCCCGCGUCACUGCCCAGAGCACGUCCUGGUUUGCAAGGCUGGAAGCCCCACAGCCCCCCAGGUAGAAGAGGGAGGGCCGUCAGCACCUCUCGGGACUGA